Long non-coding RNA from Papaver somniferum (opium poppy), 726 nucleotides. RefSeq lists it as uncharacterized. NCBI's taxonomy places the organism in Eukaryota, Viridiplantae, Streptophyta, Magnoliopsida, Ranunculales, Papaveraceae. The transcript has 2 exons. The record is from RefSeq and is a predicted model, not a curated record.
AUUUGUAUAUUAUGCUUUGAACAUUGGAUAUCUACGGACGCCUCGUUACAUUUUCCUUUAUUAUGGAAAUUGUAUGGAUUGCAUCUUGGGUACUGACGUAAUCAUUUAUAGAGAAUCGGCUUGCAACCGGGUGAUAGGUGGAAGCAUAGAAAUUGCCUCACUCAUAAACUAGUACCUUUAAUUUUCGUUCCAUUUUAGUUAAUGGUUAACUAGUAGCCUAAGAUAGUUGAGUUAAUACAACAACAGUGGACAUCAAUUGAGGAGAGUUGGUAAUAAGAGUUGUCGUUAAGGAUGAGAUCCCGUUAGAAAUGCUAUCAUGGCUCUCUUAAUUGGUGGUUCAAUUUUUCUAUUGAAAAGGAGAACCUAGCUGAGACAUGUAAUUGGAUUAUGACUGAGCAAAUAUUUUUACUUUAAUGGUGUAUCAGGGAGUCGGAGCUUUCCAAGCGACCCGUAACUCGACCCGCUGGAAGAAAAAUUCUAUGGCCCGUCAUACCUGCUGUGAAGACUUCUAGCACUCUUUUGAAUCGUAUUCCGAAACAGUUUUGGACUAAUCUAUUUCCGUAACCGCUCUUAUCAAUAUCAAGGGAUAAAUCAGAGAUGUUUGUUGAGUUACAAAGGCUCUUAAUCAAUAUAAAUUCCGUUGUAUUUGUUAGAUCAACUAAGAUCAAGAUUAUUGAAAUAAUCACAAACUAUCAAAGUAUAUCUCAGAGAGAAAUACCUAAUGGA